Molecule: ribosomal RNA, 468 nt
Filed under: uncultured bacterium
Lineage: Bacteria
Description: partial 16S ribosomal RNA
Rfam family: Bacterial small subunit ribosomal RNA
Source: RNAcentral
GAUGAACGCUGGCGGCGUGCUUAACACAUGCAAGUCGACCGGAAAGGCCCUGCUUUUGUGGGGUGCUCGAGUGGCGCGCGGGUGAGUAACACGUGAGUAACCUGCACCUGUCUUAGGGAUAUCUUCAGGACACUGCGGCUAAUACCGGAUAGGCGCUCCUGCAGCAUAGUGUUCGUUGGAAAGUUUCGGCGGUGCGGGCUGUACUCGGGGCUUAUGAGCUUGUUGGUGGAGUAGUGGCUUACCAAGGCUUAGACGGGUAGCCGGCCUGGGAAGGGGACCGGGCACAAUGGGACUGAGGUACGGCCCAGAAGCCUACGGGCGGCAGCAGGUGGGAAUAUUGCACAAUGGGACGAAGCGUGAGAUAGAGACGUUGCGUGCGGAAUAACGGCUUUUUAGGUAUGAACAGCUGUGGCCGUUGAGGAAGCGUGAGUGACGGUAACGAGUAAAGAAGCACCGGCUAACUACGUG